AUUGAACGCUGGCGGCAUGCCUUACACAUGCAAGUCGAACGGUAACAGGCCGCAAGGUGCUGACGAGUGGCGAACGGGUGAGUAAUACAUCGGAACGUGCCCGAUCGUGGGGGAUAACGCAGCGAAAGCUGUGCUAAUACCGCAUACGAUCUACGGAUGAAAGCGGGGGAUCGCAAGACCUCGCGCGGACGGAGCGGCCGAUGGCAGAUUAGGUAGUUGGUGGGGUAAAGGCCUACCAAGCCGACGAUCUGUAGCUGGUCUGAGAGGACGACCAGCCACACUGGGACUGAGACACGGCCCAGACUCCUACGGGAGGCAGCAGUGGGGAAUUUUGGACAAUGGGCGCAAGCCUGAUCCAGCCAUGCCGCGUGCAGGAUGAAGGCCUUCGGGUUGUAAACUGCUUUUGUACGGAACGAAAAGGUUUCUUUUAAUACAGGGAACUGAUGACGGUACCGUAAGAAUAAGCACCGGCUAACUACGUGCCAGCCGCCGCAGUAA
This 498-nucleotide ribosomal RNA is filed under the name uncultured bacterium. Its description in RNAcentral is "partial 16S ribosomal RNA". It matches the Rfam family "Bacterial small subunit ribosomal RNA", at positions 30 to 523 of the family's 1533-position model. The record is from RNAcentral.